This 187-nucleotide unclassified non-coding RNA is filed under the name uncultured Amphinema. RNAcentral's name for it is "sequence contains ITS2". The record is from RNAcentral. Lineage: Eukaryota; Fungi; Basidiomycota; Agaricomycetes; Atheliales; Atheliaceae.
AAAUCAUCGACCUCCGUCGAUCUCUGAUCGGUCGGAGGCUUGGACUUUGGAGCGUGCUGGCCUGAGGUCGGCUCCUCUUUAAAUGCAUCAGCGGAAGACCAUUGACGUCUCCCGUUGGCGUGAUAAUCCUGUUACGCCGCCAGGGUCUCGUUGGGGCUCGCUUAUAAUCGUCUUCGGACAACAUCCU